GACGAACGCUGGCGGCGCGCUUAACACAUGCAAGUCGAACGGAAAGGCCUGCUUUCCCUUGUGGAUUGCGGGUACUCGAGUGGCGAACGGGUGAGUAACACGUGAGUGAUCUGCCCCCAACUUGGGUAUAAGCCUGGGAAACUGGGUCUAAUUCCCGAUAGGACUGCAGGGUGGUGCCUGUGGUGGAAAACGAUUUUCUAGUGGUUAGGGAUGAGCUCGCGGCCUAUCAGCUUGUUGGUGGGGUAAUGGCCUACCAAGGCGGCGACGGGUAGCCGGCCUGAGAGGGUGGACGGCCACAUUGGGACUGAGAUACGGCCCAGACUCCUACGGGAGGCAGCAGUGGGGAAUAUUGCACAAUGGGCGGAAGCCUGAUGCAGCGACGCCGCGUGGGGGAUGACGGCCUUCGGGUUGUAAACUCCUUUCGACCGCGAGGAAGCCACCUGGUUGGAAGGGUGGUGACGGUAGUGGUAGAAGAAGCACCGGCUAACUACGUG
Molecule: ribosomal RNA, 494 nt
Filed under: uncultured bacterium
Lineage: Bacteria
Description: partial 16S ribosomal RNA
Rfam family: Bacterial small subunit ribosomal RNA
Source: RNAcentral